GAUGAACGCUAGCGGCAGGCUUAAUACAUGCAAGUCGAGCGGUAACAGGUGUAGCAAUACAUGCUGACGAGCGGCAGACGGGUGAGGAACACGUACGCAACUUUCCUCAAACCGGGGCACAACCUUGAGAAAUCAGGGCUAAUUCCCCAUAACAUUGCGAGAGGGCAUCUGAUUGCAAUUAAAGAUUCGUCGGUUUGAGAUGGGCGUGCGUUCGANAGUCUAGUUGGUAGGUAACGGCUUACCAAGGCAACGAUCGAUAGCUGGUGUGAGAGCACGACCAGCCACACGGGCACUGA
RNAcentral lists this ribosomal RNA (296 nucleotides) under uncultured bacterium. RNAcentral's name for it is "partial 16S ribosomal RNA". It matches the Rfam family "Bacterial small subunit ribosomal RNA", at positions 28 to 322 of the family's 1533-position model. The record is from RNAcentral.